AUACGAUGCACUGUUGGUCAGAUGAGAGGGCUAUAAAACUUUAAAAAUACUCAGGCAGCCUGUUCAAUUUAAUGCGAUGUUAUUCUUUUAAAAUUUAGCACAAUCUUUUAGAUGUGAGCAGUUGAAACCUUCCAGUAGAAAUAUCAGAAAAACUUAUAAAUCAAUUGAAAAGAUUACAAAAUUUUAAGAUAGAAGUAGCAACCACAGAUAAUAAUGUGCUGAGUCUCAUCUGAAGCCAGCAAGUCUCAGGUCAUGAUACUACCUGGGUAUCACUGCUGGCUAUUCAGCGUCCAACACCUGUUCAGUUAGAAGGUGGUGAAUCCGGCCACCCAGCACACAGAAUUGCUCUCUGCACCACAUCACCACUGCUGGGGCAUGUGGGAGGGCUGGAGGUAUUUAUAAAUGUAUUACAUAAUAAUACAUAAGUAUAGUAUGUAUAGGAAAAAAGCAAAUAAUGAAUACAUGUUUAAAUAUAAAUUACUAAACAUGAUAUAGAAUUCUAUAUUGAUUUAAAAUUAUAUGCCUGAUUUUAUAGGGACUAAUGCCCUUGCAUUCCGUGAGUCUUUGAAAGGGGGACUAAUUUGGCCAUUUCAGCCAGGAUUGAUUGUGUUUUGGAUUUACUUUCUUAGCUGUGCUGGGUGAGAGUUUUGGAGGUCUUCCCCCAGCAUUUUCUUUCAUAACAGCUCUUACUAAACAAUCAGGGAUCAAUGUAAGAUUCAUAUAUUACAUAUACAUUCUAAGUAUGUACUUAGGGAACCAAGCAAAUGGUUUGGGGCAAGGGUGCUCCCCAUCCAUUGGACCCAUUAG
Molecule: long non-coding RNA, 807 nt
Filed under: Homo sapiens (human)
Lineage: Eukaryota; Metazoa; Chordata; Mammalia; Primates; Hominidae
Description: non-protein coding lnc-PRR20C-1:1
Source: RNAcentral